RNAcentral lists this ribosomal RNA (485 nucleotides) under uncultured bacterium. RNAcentral's name for it is "partial 16S ribosomal RNA". It matches the Rfam family "Bacterial small subunit ribosomal RNA", at positions 30 to 507 of the family's 1533-position model. The record is from RNAcentral.
AUUGAACGCUGGCGGCAGGCUUAACACAUGCAAGUCGAGCGGGGAAAGGUAGCUUGCUACCUGACCUAGCGGCGGACGGGUGAGUAAUGCUUAGGAAUCUGCCUAUUAGUGGGGGACAACAUCUCGAAAGGGAUGCUAAUACCGCAUACGUCCUACGGGAGAAAGCAGGGGACCUUCGGGCCUUGCGCUAAUAGAUGAGCCUAAGUCGGAUUAGCUAGUUGGUGGGGUAAAGGCCUACCAAGGAGACGAUCUGUAGCGGGUCUGAGAGGAUGAUCCGCCACACUGGGACUGAGACACGGCCCAGACUCCUACGGGAGGCAGCAGUGGGGAAUAUUGGACAAUGGGGGGAACCCUGAUCCAGCCAUGCCGCGUGUGUGAAGAAGGCCUUUUGGUUGUAAAGCACUUUAAGCGAGGAGGAGGCUACCGAGAUUAAUACUCUUGGAUAGUGGACGUUACUCGCAGAAUAAGCACCGGCUAACUCUGUG